Molecule: non-coding RNA, 654 nt
Organism: Corylus avellana
Lineage: Eukaryota; Viridiplantae; Streptophyta; Magnoliopsida; Fagales; Betulaceae
Source: RefSeq, a predicted model, not a curated record
UAUUUUAACCAUUUGCAUCAAGUUAAUCCUCUUACUUUUCCAUCAUCUUUGGAAGACUUGUUUGAUCAUGCAACUAAAAUAAAUAUGAUAUGUAAUUUACUUAAAAGAUCACAAGUGAGUUCACCAAUGUAUGCUUAGAGUUUCCUGUUAUUGCAUACCGUCUCUAUGGUUUCCCUGUUUACCUAUAAGUUUCCUUUCUUUCUUCAACUCUUCAUUUUCCUAAUAUUUCAAAAUUCAAUGCCACAGGCAACCCUACAAAAUCCAUUGUUUCCCAUCAUUAAGCACCCAGAUACACGACCCCAUCCAAAAAAAUCGUGUAUAAAGUAAUCCAGUCUAUGGCUCAUUCCAAGCCCGCCCUAUGACCACUAGGCUCCACCUGACCGGCAUCAUUUUUUAAUGUUCAACUACUUAAUACUACCAAGCAAUUCAGAUUGGAGUUGGGACUUCCCUUAUAAUGGUAACAUCUAACCAAGAGCCAAUUAUAUCAUGUUUACAAAAACAACUUUCACCAUCAAGAGGGCAAACUGUAGCUGGUUCAGGUUGUAACUACUACUAAUACCUAUGCUGCUUUAGCUGUUUCACGAACCACAGAAAGCUUAGCCAAAAGACCACAGAGCUGAAGAUAUGAACCAACUCCAUCACAGAUUCUCAUAU